This 250-nucleotide ribosomal RNA is filed under the name uncultured bacterium. Its description in RNAcentral is "partial 16S ribosomal RNA". It matches the Rfam family "Bacterial small subunit ribosomal RNA", at positions 524 to 769 of the family's 1533-position model. The record is from RNAcentral.
GACGAAGGGGCGUAGCGUUGUUCGGUAAUUACUGGGCGGUAAAGACGAGUGUAGGUGGUUGUCACAGUCAGGUGUGAAAGACCUUGAGCUCAACUCAAGAAAUGCACUUGAUACUGGGCGACUAGAGGACCGGAGAGGAUAGUGGAAUUCCCAGUGUAGUGGUGAAAUACGUAGAGAUUGGGAAGAACACCAGUGGCGAAGGCGGCUAUCUGGACGGUUUCUGACACUAAGACUCGAAAGCGUGGGGAGC